RNAcentral lists this ribosomal RNA (539 nucleotides) under uncultured bacterium. RNAcentral describes it as "partial 16S ribosomal RNA". It matches the Rfam family "Bacterial small subunit ribosomal RNA", at positions 355 to 900 of the family's 1533-position model. The record is from RNAcentral.
UGGGGAAUAUUGCACAAUGGGCGCAAGCCUGAUGCAGCAACGCCGCGUNAGGGCAUGACGGCCUUCGGGCUUGUAAAACCUCUUUUUAGCAGGGAAGAAGCGAAAGUGACGGUACCUGCAGAAAAAGCACCGGCUAACUACGUGCCAGCAGCCGCGGUAAUACGUAGGGUGCAANCGUUGUCCGGAAUUAUUGGGCGUAAAGAGCUCGUAGGCGGUCUGUCGCGUCUGCUGUGAAAUCCCGAGGCUCAACCUCGGGCCUGCAGUGGGUACGGGCAGACUAGAGUGCGGUAGGGGAGAAUGGAACUCCCGGUGUAGCGGUGGAAUGCGCAGAUAUCAGGAAGAACACCGAUGGCGAAGGCAGUUCUCUGGGCCGUAACUGACGCUGAGGAGCGAAAGCGUGGGGAGCGAACAGGAUUAGAUACCCUGGUAGUCCACGCCGUAAACGUUGGGCGCUAGAUGUGGGGACCAUUCCACGGUUUCCGUGUCGCAGCUAACGCAUUAAGCGCCCGCCUGGGGAGUACGGCCGCCAAGGCUAAAAC